UACGUAGGGUGCAAGCGUUGUCCGGAAUUAUUGGGCGUAAAGAGCUCGUAGGCGGUUUGUUGCGUCGGCUGUGAAAUCCCGAGGCUCAACCUCGGGUCUGCAGUCGAUACGAGCAAACUAGAGUGUUGCAGGGGAGACUGGAAUUCCUGGUGUAGCGGUGAAAUGCGCAGAUAUCGGGAGGAACACCAGUGGCGAAGGCGGCGAUCUGGGCAGAUACUGACGCUGAGGUGCGAAAGCGUGGGGAGCAAACAGG
RNAcentral lists this ribosomal RNA (253 nucleotides) under uncultured bacterium. RNAcentral's name for it is "partial 16S ribosomal RNA". It matches the Rfam family "Bacterial small subunit ribosomal RNA", at positions 524 to 776 of the family's 1533-position model. The record is from RNAcentral.